This 29-nucleotide small RNA is filed under the name Bombyx mori (domestic silkworm). RNAcentral's name for it is "ovarian small RNA-13487". Lineage: Eukaryota; Metazoa; Arthropoda; Insecta; Lepidoptera; Bombycidae. The record is from RNAcentral.
CCACAAUGGUGGCAUUCUGCCGUCGGCUC